Molecule: microRNA precursor, 182 nt
Filed under: Oryza brachyantha (malo sina)
Lineage: Eukaryota; Viridiplantae; Streptophyta; Magnoliopsida; Poales; Poaceae
Description: MIR812 microRNA precursor family
Rfam family: MIR812 microRNA precursor family
Source: Rfam by way of RNAcentral
UUUUCGUUUUUCCAUGUCCAACGUUUGACCAUUUGUCUUAUUUAAAAUUUUUUUGCGAUUAAUAUUUUUAUUAUUACUAGAUGAUAAAAUAUGAAUAGUACUUUAUACGUGACUAUUUUUUAAAAGUUUUUAAAUAAAAUUUUUAAAUAAGACGAAUGGUCAAACGUUGGACACGGAAAAAC